AAAACGACUCUCGGCAACGGAUAUCUCGGCUCUCGCAUCGAUGAAGAACGUAGCGAAAUGCGAUACUUGGUGUGAAUUGCAGAAUCCCGUGAACCAUCGAGUCUUUGAACGCAAGUUGCGCCCGAAGCCAUCAAAGGUCGAGGGCACGUCUGCCUGGGCGUCAAAC
Molecule: ribosomal RNA, 166 nt
Filed under: Perebea xanthochyma
Lineage: Eukaryota; Viridiplantae; Streptophyta; Magnoliopsida; Rosales; Moraceae
Description: 5.8S ribosomal RNA
Rfam family: 5.8S ribosomal RNA
About the family: 5.8S ribosomal RNA (5.8S rRNA) is a component of the large subunit of the eukaryotic ribosome. It is transcribed by RNA polymerase I as part of the 45S precursor that also contains 18S and 28S rRNA.
Source: RNAcentral